UUCUUCUUCUUAUCCUUCACCUCGCCGUGUUGUUGUCACUGGUCUAGGCUUGGUGACUCCACUUGGACGAGGCGUUGAAACAACAUGGAGGCGUUUAAUUGGUGGAGAAUGUGGGAUUAGAGGAUUGACUCUUGAUGAUCUCAAGAUGAAGUCUUUUGAUGAAGAGACAAAGUUGUAUACUUUUGAUCAGCUCUCUUCUAAAGUUGCGGCCUUUGUGCCUUUUGGAUCAAACCCAGGUGAAUUUGAUGAAGCCCUUUGGCUAAACUCCAAGGCAGUUGCGAAUUUUAUCGGAUAUGCUUUAUGUGCCGCUGAUGAAGCCUUGAGGGAUGCAGAGUGGUUACCAACUGAGGAGGAAGAAAAAGAAAGAACAGUUAAGUAUCCCUCAUCUGGACAU
Molecule: non-coding RNA, 394 nt
Organism: Camelina sativa (false flax)
Lineage: Eukaryota; Viridiplantae; Streptophyta; Magnoliopsida; Brassicales; Brassicaceae
Source: RefSeq, a predicted model, not a curated record